UUAAAUUGAAGAGUUUGAUCAUGGCUCAGAUUGAACGCUGGCGGCAGGCCUAACACAUGCAAGUCGAGCGGAAACGAGUUGUCUGAACCUUCGGGGGACGACAACGGCGUCGAGCGGCGGACGGGUG
This 127-nucleotide ribosomal RNA is filed under the name Vibrio parahaemolyticus. Its description in RNAcentral is "partial 16S ribosomal RNA". It matches the Rfam family "Bacterial small subunit ribosomal RNA", at positions 1 to 108 of the family's 1533-position model. The record is from RNAcentral. Lineage: Bacteria; Pseudomonadati; Pseudomonadota; Gammaproteobacteria; Vibrionales; Vibrionaceae.